RNAcentral lists this ribosomal RNA (433 nucleotides) under uncultured bacterium. RNAcentral describes it as "partial 16S ribosomal RNA". It matches the Rfam family "Bacterial small subunit ribosomal RNA", at positions 29 to 507 of the family's 1533-position model. The record is from RNAcentral.
AACGAACGCUGGCGGCAUGCCUAACACAUGCAAGUCGAACGAGACCUUCGGGUCUAGUGGCGCACGGGUGCGUAACGCGUGGGAACCUGCCCUUAGGUUCGGAAUAACUCCCCGAAAGGGGUGCUAAUACCGGAUAAUGUCUUCGGACCAAAGAUUUAUCGCCCUUGGAUGGGCACGCGUUGGAUUAGCUAGUUGGUAGGGUAAAAGCCUACCAAGGCGACGAUCCAUAGCUGGUCUGAGAGGAUGAUCAGCCACACUGGGACUGAGACACGGCCCAGACUCCUACGGGAGGCAGCAGUGGGGAAUAUUGGACAAUGGGCGAAAGCCUGAUCCAGCAAUGCCGCGUGAGUGAUGAAGGCCUUAGGGUUGUAAAGCUCUUUUACCCGGGAUGAUAAUGACAGUACCGGGAGAAUAAGCUCCGGCUAACUCCGUG